UGUGUAUCUGUUUUUAAGUCACUGGUUCUCCGGAUGAAUUAGGCUGUCUGUAGGAGUAACAAUAAAGACCAUGCUGAAAAGA
Long non-coding RNA from Gambusia affinis (western mosquitofish), 82 nucleotides. RefSeq lists it as uncharacterized. The record is from RefSeq and is a predicted model, not a curated record. NCBI's taxonomy places the organism in Eukaryota, Metazoa, Chordata, Actinopteri, Cyprinodontiformes, Poeciliidae. The transcript is spliced from 2 exons.